AGCGAACGCUGGCGGCAUGCUUAACACAUGCAAGUCGCGCGGGUGGUUUCGGCCAUCAGCGGCGGACGGGUGAGUAUCGCGUAGGAAUGUAUCCCGAGGUGGGGGACAACCCUGGGAAACUGGGGCUAAUACCGCAUGGGGCCUGUGGGUCAAAGCCUUAGGGCGCCUUGGGAGCAGCCUGCGUCCGAUUAGGUAGUUGGUGGGGUAAAGGCCUACCAAGCCUGCGAUCGGUAGCUGGUCUGAGAGGACGAUCAGCCACACUGGGACUGAGACACGGCCCAGCAGCCGAGGGGAGGCAGAGGGGGGGAGUAGGAGACAGUGGGCGCAGGCAGGAUGCAGGAACGCCGGGUGCGGGAUGACGGCCUUAGGGGUGUAAACCGCUUUAAGCGGGGAAGAAGCUGUUUGUGGCGGUACCGGCAGAAGAAGCACCGGCUAACUACGU
This 442-nucleotide ribosomal RNA is filed under the name uncultured bacterium. RNAcentral describes it as "partial 16S ribosomal RNA". It matches the Rfam family "Bacterial small subunit ribosomal RNA", at positions 30 to 506 of the family's 1533-position model. The record is from RNAcentral.